This is a long non-coding RNA of Nothoprocta perdicaria, 310 nucleotides long. RefSeq lists it as uncharacterized. The transcript has 3 exons. NCBI's taxonomy places the organism in Eukaryota, Metazoa, Chordata, Aves, Tinamiformes, Tinamidae. The record is from RefSeq and is a predicted model, not a curated record.
AAAGGACGCUGCCACAUCCUGUCUAAACUUAUGUGAGAGGCUGUUCAUGAGGGAACUGCAGUGGAGCUCAGGGGUAUGGCAGGUCUCUGUUGAGUCAUCAGGUAGGUCUCAUGAAAGGAGUGGGAGCUUGCCCAGGUGGAAGGUGCAUCUGCACGGCCAGAGGACGACCAAAAUCCCUCCUUGUGCCAAAGCUUGAGACUGGAACUGUUGAUCAUCUAGAGUGUAGAUCAUCUGGAGAGUUGGACGCUGCGCAUCUGUAGUCCUUACUGGAAAAAGUGUUGAAGGCUUUCUUGGUGUUUUAGCAUUACCU